RNA transcript from Gigantopelta aegis, 4179 nucleotides. It is a transcript of the gene named zinc finger protein 250-like, with no coding region annotated. The transcript has 5 exons. The record is from RefSeq and is a predicted model, not a curated record. NCBI's taxonomy places the organism in Eukaryota, Metazoa, Mollusca, Gastropoda, Neomphalida, Peltospiridae.
GAUGUCUACCUGUCAACAUAUUUGCAUUGAAUUAUUUGUUUGAAAUCUAGUUUAUAUUAUUUUUGGAUUAUUCUAAUGCUGUACAGUUAGUCCAACAAUGCAGUCACGGCAGAUGAGGAAAUUGCAGUAUGUCCGACAUGCGGGACACGCCGCAGACAAAUGGCUGCAUCAAAGGAAGGUUGAUCUUGGAGUGAUUUUUGAGAGUUGGAAAUCUCUUCGAGACAAAAGGGCAGACACAGAUCCUGGUUUGGCAUUUCAUUUGAUGGAAAUUCAUGAUCAGUAUUGCUUUUGUCGAUUUGAAGAAUCUGAAUCCACAGUUCGAGAUGGUGAUCUGGUUGGUUCAUAUGAUGUGUCUGAGUAUUCCAAGCAUUCACAAGAAACAGAUGAAGUUAUAGACAGAUUUUCAAACAGCAGCACCCCUGAUACACCUGGCUUUUCCCAGAAACAGGAAACCAGUGAUGUCAGUAAUAGUGUUGAUCCAGGCAACCGGUCGUCUGACCAGCAGCAUGAGUCUAAAGUAGAGACACUGAGCAGACCACGUGACACGUUUGAUGACUCGUCAUCUCCACCAGUCAACGAGGCAUACGUCAAUGAACCAACACUACCGCCACGGGAGCAUUCUGUACUUCCAGAUAAACUCACCAGUCCCCAAACAUCAGGCUAUUCUCCCAUCAUAUCAGUAUCCAUUGGGAGUCCUCAUGCACCUACACAGCCUGCUUAUGUAUUCCAAUCUGAAAAUAUGCCUGAACAAUCGGAUAGUGCAUUGGCUACUUUAUACAGACCAGCUGACAGUGAUUUGCGUGUCAAAGCUGAACCAAUUGCUAUUGAUUCUGAACCGGAUGAGUCUGAUGAUGUCCCUAGAGUAAGUCAUAUUCCAGGAAUGACAACCAGUGCGGGAGAAACGCCAGGACAUAAUUUACAAAGACAACAGCUUACAACUGACAGCAACCAUCUUGGACCAAGCAAGAAAUAUUCUUGUCUUUUGACAACAUUGGCUUCCUUCGACAAGGACAAUAGUGCAUCAACAGACAAGAAAGAGACCAAGAAGCGUGUGUACAUCUGUCAUUUGUGUGGCAAUGAGUACCGACAUGAAAACUCUCUGCGGAGACAUCUAUCUCAGCACCAAGACUCCAACAAGAGCUUUCAGUGUGUGCACUGCGGCAAGGAGUUCCGUGAAAAACGCUACCUGAAGGAGCACGUCAAGGCCAAACACACGGACACUCCUUCGCUGCUGUGUCACGACUGUGGGCUGCACUUCAAGUCCCACAACACCCUGUCCAAUCACCAGCGUUUCAAACACAAACACAGGGCCGUCGUGUGCACUACUUGUGGGUAUGCCUGCAGAGACCAGUACUCCUUGUCGAGACACAUGAAGAAACACGACCAACACAAAUCAGCUUGUCCCAAGUGCUCACAGACGUUCAAGAAUAUGGCGUCACAUGUGCUCAAAUGUCCGGGGGGAAGAGUCAGGAAGUUCUCCUGCGACCAGUGUAUGGUUUUCUUCAGAGAAAAAAGAUAUCUGGCGAAACAUUUGAAACUCAAACACUUCCGUACUGAUGAUUUUUUGUGCAACUGUGGGAAGGUGUUCUCUUAUGCAUAUUCAUUAAAUCGUCACAAGAAAAAUUGUAUACAUGCAAUAUUUGUGUAGGUUAAUUAAGACAUUUCAUAUAUUAAUUUGUUAUUUGUAGACCAAACUGUCUAAAAGUCUGUAUACAUGUGUGUUUUAAGCUGCUAUGAUUCAUUAUUGCAUGCUGUCUGUUAGCCCAGGGUUCAAAACUCACCAAAAAAUAUGGUGGCCCAAGAAAUAAUAAUACAUGUUGGCAAAUUAUGGUAAGCGAUCCACGAGCAAGAUGUUAAUGUGGAAUACAAAUAUUAAUAGUGACUCAUGUGUUACAGCUCUAAAAAAGAUAAUAUUAUUUGGGCGACUAACGCCAUUAUUUUUUUAAUAUUUAAGUUGCCCAAACAGGAUAUUGCUUGCAUUUAGUGACCUGGCCACAGUCCGUUUCGAGCCCUGUUAACCAAUGUACUUCUUGAAGAAAUGUGACAGAACUCCACAGAAAGCAAAAUAAAUCGACAAAAUCCUUCCACUUUGGCUAACAAAAUCUUUAAAAAUUGAAGAAAAACAGUGGUAACUUAUCUUCACAUGGCUCAUGUGAAUUCUCACUGUAACAUGAACUUUUAUAAAAACAGUAAUGCUUUGUUUAUUUGUUUUUUGUUGAAAGUACAUUUAGGUGGCUGUUACCCAGGAAAACUAUGCUCCACAAAACCAAUUUAAUUGAUCUAAUGAAAUGAAUAAUAUUUUAUGGUAAAAAGUAGCUACCUACAAGUGAAUAGGAUAAUUUAUAGGGUUUAUUACACACCCAUUUAAUCUUACUAUAGUCGGGGUUUAAUCCAGGCAUUCUUUGGUACCGAACAUAGGCCCCUUCCCAAAAGCAAGUGGCACUGAAAAUUCCCAAUUUGAUGUGAAUAUUUGUGUAGUUAUGUCUGCUCUAAUAAAUUAAUUUAACAGUGUUAACAAACAUACCAAUAAUGAUUAAAUUAUGCUAGUUUUCCCAAUCACAUCAGACCUGAGAUCCUGGUGAAAAAUCCUGAAUAAAUCCCUGAUAAUAAUAAAGACCAUUCCAACAGUGCAAUACAAAAAUUUAUUGAAUAUAUGUGUAAUACAAAAUCUCGCAUACAUAGCCCAUGCCCCUAGUGAUGCCCAUAUUUUUUUUCAGUUUUAGCCAUACAAUAUCCUAAAACCAUCGUAGGCUAUAACGUAUCAGUCUCUGAUUUUACAAUAUCAUAGCACUAAAAUAGCUUCAAAAAUCUGUAGCUAGGAUACUCUGUGUUCUGUCAAUUCCACAAAAUUCAACCAACUUUCCAAAGAAUGUAAGUGAUGUUAUUUAAUUAAACUUUUGUUAAUCAUAAUAUAUGAAAGUGGUAUGUAAUAAAUACAAAACCACAUACCAUUUGUUUUUGUAUGUUAUUUAUUGCACUUGUUUAUAAUGCAUAAGAUUUAUACAUGUACAGUGGAACCUCGUUAGUCCGGACUCCAUUACUCCGGAAACCUCACCUUACGGACGGUUUUAUCACAAAACGAAACGACUACCCAGUAAAGUUAUUCGUUAAUCCGGAUAUUCAGCUUCCGGAACCGGAUGGUCAUAAUUCUGAACCAAAUGUAAAAAGUAAAGGCAAAUUGCUUCGUUUGACCGGUCGCCGCUGAUUGAACAUAAAAGUAAUCCGCCAAUUAACGCUUAAGGAAUCGACAGAGAUAAAAUGGCUGCACAGGAUUUCACACCGCAGUUUAUUUAACCAUUCACCUGUGUCUGUUUAGUGUUAGUCAGAUAGAGCACAAGUGUUCACAAGUGUUUGAUGUUUUUUUAAAUAUAAUUUCUUUGAUCUGUGACCAGACUGGCUGUUUUAUUUUAUGAAAAAAAAGAAGAGUAUUUUAUUUUUAAAAGUGGGUAACUCUUGAUCAUACCCUAUGGUACCCCAUGACCUCGUUUUGUAACUACCCUCCUAACUUACCUGUAUGAUUUAUUACUGAAUACUGUUCAUAAUUGUUUUGGUGUCCAACUCAAGAGUAUUGCCAGUCACCCAAAAUAAAGACAAAGGAAACAUCUUUAUAUGUUAUUGCUAUCAAAACACAGGCUCGCGACUCGCAAGUGGAACAAUGCUCAUUCAGUUUCACACCGUAAUCCGGAAAUUCGUUAAUCCGGACGUUUUUUUUAAUAACCAUACUGUCCGGACUAACGAGGUUCCACUGUACCUCAACUGCUACACACGGUCUCAAGGUAUCAUAUUCUUGCACGCUAUAAACCCAUACAAUAAAUAACAUGUGAAACAACUGGCAUGUACAAAUAUAGUUUUCUAUAUUUAUAAUUACAUUAAAAUUUAAUUAUGUAUAUUCAACAUGUUCAAAAGCUUUUAUUUUGGCCUAUGUUUGUCGAGUCAGUAAGGUAGCAGCAAAGUAUGAUGUUUAUUCUGUGGCCAGAGAGUGUUGUCCAUCAACUAAUCUCUUGUGGAUCUCCCUCAUUUGUGGACAUUUCACCCAGUUAUUUGGCUAGCUGUGUUUUUACAUUUCCUGAAAAUGGAUGGAUGAUGGGAUCAUAUUGAUUUAUGUAAUUGUACAUAUAUAAUGAAAUAUGGCUUCUAGUAGUUCUAUAUUCUUAAUUUGUAUUAAAUUAAAAGUUUGUA